Molecule: long non-coding RNA, 1656 nt
Filed under: Carica papaya (papaya)
Lineage: Eukaryota; Viridiplantae; Streptophyta; Magnoliopsida; Brassicales; Caricaceae
Description: long non-coding RNA (CPAP_LNC011517)
Source: RNAcentral
CCAAAGUCUCCAGAAAACCCGAGAGACGUAGAAACCCUAGAGAACGAGUGAGGACCUAGCCUCAUUCGUUUAACCUAACCUUAACCUUUUCCCCUUAAAUAUGCUUCUUGAUCUUUUACCAUGUAGCCUCAUUAAUUCACAGAUGGCAAACACAUAACCCUUCUUAAUCCCCUUCACCCGAUGAUUGACAUGUGCCCCCUUUUCUCUUCAGAUGGAAGCACAUGUUUGACUCCUCACACAUAAACCCUAAUUGCUGUCUGUCUUCUGUUUCACACUUCAUCCUCUUUCCUACGCGCACAACUUGAUUCCCUGUUUCCACUACUAUUUUCCUCAUUGUGCUCCCACCUUUAUCCCCUGCUUUCCGAACUACUUUUAUCCUGGUGAGCUUGGUUCCUUACAAUGACAUGCGAGAUCACAUGACAAGUUCCACAUACUUUUCCAUGAUAGAUUUGAAAAGCGAACAUCACCAAAUCUGCACAAGAUUAGGAGACAAACAUAAAACGACAUUCAAACCAAAAGAUAGCCUAUAUGAGUAGUUAAUCAUGUCAUUUGGAUUGUCUAAUGCACCAAGUACCUUCACGUGCUUCAUGAAUCAAGUUUUCUAUUUUAAUAAGAGAUUUUCUGUCGUCUACUUUGAUGAUACCCUUAUAUUCAGUAAGUCUAAGGAAGAAUGCAUCUUGCACUUGCAACAAGUUAUGAGAGUAUUCCAUCAAGAGAAACUCUAUAUAAACCUAAAAAAUGCACAUUUAUGACAAAUAGUGUUUUGUUCCUAGGAUUUGUCGUCUCUUCCAAAUGAGUAAAAGUUGAUCAAGCAAAGGUUAAAGCUAUCCCAUAAUGGCCAACUCCUAAGAUCUUACAUGAAGUGUAAAGCUUCCAUGGGUUGGCAUCUCCUUACAUAAGGUUUAUUGGAGGCUUUAGCACAAUAAUAACACCUAUUACAAGCUACAGAGUCGUAUAAUCAUAUUCUUCUAUGGUAUCCAAUGGUGUAUAAUUUUUAGAAAUGGUUUAUGACUUGUUAGGGAUAAAUUGGGUUAUAGUAGGGUCGGUGAUGGAUGAGAUUUCGGCGUAGAAGGGGAUAUGUAAAACGAAAAAAUUUGUAAAUCUUAUUUUAUUGACUAUUUUUUGGAUGGUAUAGAAAGAGAGGAAUAAUGAGGAGAGGGAUUGAAGGAGAGAUAUCUAAAAUCAAGAGUAGAUUGUUGACGGAGUGUGGAGGCUACUUUAGUAAAAUAAAUAUGUAACUUAGGGUUUUAUUCUAUUAUUAAUUAUUAUGUUUUAUAAAUAAGGAAGUUAUACCCGGGCUUUUGGGGUAUAACUUCUAUAUAUAUGGCUGCAUGUAUCUAUAAUUUUAAUCAAUAAGAAAAAAAGGGUUUUACUCUCAAAAACAUCAUGGUAUCAAAGUCGUAGGAACCCUACGGCCAACAAAGCUGCUCGUACAGCAGAGAGAAUCUCAGAAUUAACUGAGGCAGAAAGCUCAGUUGUCAGGGGUGCAAUCAAGACAGUCAUGGCACAUAGGGGAGACCUUUCCUCCCACCAUUCCUUUCAGCUCACAUCUCACCGACUGAAUGGAAAAAAUUACCUGGAGGGGGUGCAAUCCGUGAAGCUCGCAAUCGACAACAGGCAAACUCGGACACCUGACUGGAGAAGUGAGAAAACCAG